UUGCCACGUGUCUUUCACUUUAUACGUGUCCUUCCCUUCCCUGCAUUCUUUUCCUUUUCACAUACACAUUGCAGAGAAUAAGAAUGAAAAGAGAGGAUCCGGGAGAAAGAGACGACCGCUUACCUGUUCCGUUAGUUGCAACGUGGUGUGCGUUGAUUACUUUCUGAGACUCACCAACAAAAAGAACUUCAGAAGACAACAAUUGCGAUGGUUUUCCCUAUUUAAUUGUUCGCUUUAUGAGGAGAUACGGCUACAGAUGAUAUGAUUUGGUGGAGAGAUGCAACAUAAUGCAACAAGAAAAAGAAAUUAGCUUGACGCCUUGACGGUCUGGGCAGAGUUGAGGUUUUUUGUUGUUGGCGCGUAUGGUCAUGUGAUUGACUUUGCUUUCACUUGGCAGCUGGUGAGUAUGCAACCAUGGCGGGUUAUUCUCUGUGUUUGAAAAUGAGAUGGUCAUGUGCAUUGGCGAAGCCACGCCCCCCCCCCCCCAAUUUUCCCGAUACCGGGGGGGCGGCAACGUAUAUAGCUAUACGAAAGUAUAACACUACGCAUCGAAAAGUUGGGGGGGGGGGGGGGGCGGGCGCCCCCUCGGAGAUACACUAUCCUGCGCCCCUGGUACUCAUGUGAAUGACUUUGCUUUCACAUGGCAACUGGUUAGUGUCAGAUCUAUUCACUUUAACUCAUAUGUGGCCAUAUGUUUGUAGGUUGUAAACAGUUCAUUGUCAUUGAUUGUCCUUGAUUUUUGUUGGAAGUGGCUAUGAUGAUGAGUUUAAAUUUGAGCAAAGAUGGGACUUUUGUUUGUCCUGGCAGGGCAACCGAGAUGGUCAUGAGAUUGACUUUGCUUUCCCGUGGCAACCAGUUUAUUCUCUUUCUUUGAUUGUUUACAUAUAUGAGCCUUAUUAUUCUUUCA
Helianthus annuus (common sunflower) is the source of this 907-nucleotide long non-coding RNA. RefSeq lists it as uncharacterized. Lineage: Eukaryota; Viridiplantae; Streptophyta; Magnoliopsida; Asterales; Asteraceae. The record is from RefSeq and is a predicted model, not a curated record. The transcript is spliced from 3 exons.